CUUAAAGAUGAGGACAUGAUGAGGCCCAUUAUAGAUAAACUAGAAAAGGUGGCGGUGAGAGGAAGAGAUAAAAACCUGAAACCUGAAUAUGAUAGAAUGUGCAAAGUCAAAUCCUGGGAGAUAGAUCAAAAGAAAUCUGUUCACUUCUAUCAUGACUGGAAUGACAAAGAAAUUGAAGUAUUGAAUAAACACAUUUUUGUCUUCAAAACCAAUGGUCUACUUGGUUAAUCUUUCUGGAAAAGAUGACAUUAGAAAGAAAAGCAAAUGGUUGAUAAAAAUUAAAGAGUGGGUGGACAUGUAUGACCCAGCUGCCUUGGUCCUUUAGUGGAGCCCUCCAUUCCUUUUAGUGGAGCCUUGGAACUCAAGUUGCAAGAAUUGAGUGCUGAGGAGAGACAGAAGUAUCUGGAAGUGAGUAUGACAGGAAGUGCUUUGCCAAAGAUCAUUGAGGCUGCGUUUGCAGCACUCCAUCUAGAAUACUUUUUCACUGUAGGCCCAAAUGAAGUGCCCGUAUGGACCAUCAGGAGAGGGACAAAGGCUCCUCAGGCUGUAAGAAAGAUUCACGCAGACUUUGAAAAAGGAUUCAUUAUGGCCGAAGUAAUGAAGGAUGAAGAUUUUAAAGAGGCAGUUUCUGAAAAUGCAGUCAAGGCUGCUGGAAAGUACACACAACAAGGCACAGAUUAUAUUGUUGGAGAUAGAGAUAUUAUCUUCUUCCUAUUUAAUACACCUCAACAACCAAAGAAGAAAUAGAUUUUAGUUAUUGCUCAGAAAAAUGUACAACUUCCAAAAGGAAAGGUAUAUCAUUUUUUAAAAUUAAAACUUCUGAAAAGUGAAGGGACAAAUAAAGUUGGGGAGAUGGGUACCUUCUGUAAACAAAUUAUUUUUGUUUUAUUUAAUAAAAUUGAAAUACUGUGU
Molecule: RNA transcript, 912 nt
Organism: Propithecus coquereli (Coquerel's sifaka)
Lineage: Eukaryota; Metazoa; Chordata; Mammalia; Primates; Indriidae
Gene name: obg-like ATPase 1 pseudogene
Exons: 1
Source: RefSeq, a predicted model, not a curated record